UAUUAAAAACACAUCAGUGAGCCGCACUGUUGCACUGGGUGACAUGUUCCUUCAUCACCAUGAACACACACACUAUAGUUUAUUCUGACACAGAGCAACAAGUAAUGAAAAUAGUCCUCAACAAAUUCCCAUGAUUUGAUUGAAGCAUAUUCCUACUGAUUAUUAUACUGGUACCUAGUGAUUCAUUUAAAAAUGUCAGUAGGAACCAGCAGGCUGAAUGCCACAGACCGGUUAGAGAUGGGCUAACUCUUUUUAUGAGAUUUGUUGACGUUAAGAAAGAUGUAAAAUUACACCAGCCCUAGCCUUUAAUUCUUUGUUUUUGUGUACUUUGUAAAUAACUGUGCAAUUUUGUUUUUAAAAGUGCGAUUUGAAUGUUAUUGCUAUUAUUAAAAGUCGUCUUGCACUCAAAAUCCAAGCAAUCCAGUAACUAAAUAUAACAUUCAGGCUGUUCAGAACUUCUUAGUUCACAGGUGGCUGCCCUCUCUGAGGAGGAGGUGGAGGCCAGAACCAAAGCUUUAUGUGCUGAUGGAGACGAGGCACCGACUACAGAGAGUUCUCAGACAUGGGGAAGAUGGAGAAGAAACCUAAGAGGUCACGUGGUUAAGCUGAGCUCCAGUGUUACUACAGAGAGAGUGUGAAAGAAAGGAGGAGCGGAAGACGGAGAGGCCCUGCAUACCAGAUCUACCCUCCCUAAAGAAUGCUCUUCCUCCUUUUGAGGACUGUUAUCAGAACAGUUUGCUAAAUAAAAAAAAGGAACAAAAAAAUAUGAUUCAUGGAAAACUAAAGUUGUUUAAAACAUGGUUACUUCAUUGUCUGACCCCCUUGUGUCCAAAACUAAUGAUUAACUGGUAAUCUCAGUGUGUUUGUCUGCUAAAAUUAUAGAGGAGAUGUUAGCACACAGCUGCCGUCUGAAUAUACUCUCACUUCCCACUAAGGCAGCACCCUGCUUUAACAGAAACACAAACAUAAAUUCAGGAAUGACAGUCUGUGUUCCUAUUUCCUAUUGGACAUUUCCUUGCACAUUUCCUGGAAAAAAUUAUGUAAUGGCACAAAUGACAUGAAAAUGGAUAUAAAGUUUUAAGACAGAUAUUUGAGUUUGGUUAGUUGUGCUGAGUUUAUAAGAGGUUGUUGAUCUCUAGAAGAGUUUCCUUAGAAGCAUCUGCUCCAUUUAAACUGAAAUCAUUUAUCAUUCAUUAUUAUUUAGUAUUGGAAACUUUAUUCUCCAUACAUACUGAAUGGUAAAUUGCCUGUAGACAAAUUUCACAUUUUUGCAUACUGAACUGACUAAUUUUGCACAGUGUUUUCCAGGAAUCUUCCCAGGAAUUCACAUUUACAUAUCAAUUACUUUCUGAUAAAUUAUACAAAACUAUGGGACCUAUAAGUUUCAGUGACUAAUCAAGAAAGAAUCACAACACACACAUAAAAAUCUGUUUCCUUUUAUACAUUUUAUAUUUUAAAACGGUCAAAAUCAGAGUCAGAAAUUGCACUAUAAAAGGUCUCCCCUUCCUCUGUUACACUUUGUAAAAAUAUGAUCCAGUAUUUCAGAUGACUGGACCACUUUGUUUGAAUAUGUAUUGAUUCGAUAUUAUACAAAAAAUAAAUUUUAAAUACACAUAUUC
Molecule: long non-coding RNA, 1619 nt
Organism: Siniperca chuatsi (mandarin fish)
Lineage: Eukaryota; Metazoa; Chordata; Actinopteri; Centrarchiformes; Sinipercidae
Exons: 2
Source: RefSeq, a predicted model, not a curated record